Molecule: ribosomal RNA, 546 nt
Filed under: uncultured bacterium
Lineage: Bacteria
Description: bacterial SSU rRNA
Rfam family: Bacterial small subunit ribosomal RNA
Source: RNAcentral
UGGGGAAUAUUGCGCAAUGGGGGCAACCCUGACGCAGCCAUGCCGCGUGAAUGAAGAAGGCCUUCGGGUUGUAAAGUUCUUUCGGUGACGAGGAAGGCGUGAUGUUUAAUAGGCAUCACGAUUGACGUUAAUCACAGAAGAAGCACCGGCUAACUCCGUGCCAGCAGCCGCGGUAAUACGGAGGGUGCGAGCGUUACUCGGAAUAACUGGGCGUAAAGGGCACGCAGGCGGCUAUUUAAGUGAGGUGUGAAAUCCCCGGGCUUAACCUGGGAAUUGCAUUUCAGACUGGGUAGCUAGAGUACUUUAGGGAGGGGUAGAAUUCCACGUGUAGCGGUGAAAUGCGUAGAGAUGUGGAGGAAUACCGAAGGCGAAGGCAGCCCCUUGGGAAUGUACUGACGCUCAUGUGCGAAAGCGUGGGGAGCAAACAGGAUUAGAUACCCUGGUAGUCCACGCUGUAAACGCUGUCGAUUUGGGGAUUGGGCCUUGAGCUUGGUGCCCGAAGCUAACGUGAUAAAUCGACCGCCUGGGGAGUACGGCCGCAAGGUU